Molecule: ribosomal RNA, 939 nt
Filed under: Microbacterium enclense
Lineage: Bacteria; Bacillati; Actinomycetota; Actinomycetes; Micrococcales; Microbacteriaceae
Description: bacterial SSU rRNA
Rfam family: Bacterial small subunit ribosomal RNA
Source: RNAcentral
GCUUGCUUGGUGGAUCAGUGGCGAACGGGUGAGUAACACGUGAGCAACCUGCCCUGGACUCUGGGAUAAGCGCUGGAAACGGCGUCUAAUACUGGAUAUGAGCCUCUAUCGCAUGGUGGGGGUUGGAAAGAUUUUUUGGUCUGGGAUGGGCUCGCGGCCUAUCAGCUUGUUGGUGAGGUAAUGGCUCACCAAGGCGUCGACGGGUAGCCGGCCUGAGAGGGUGACCGGCCACACUGGGACUGAGACACGGCCCAGACUCCUACGGGAGGCAGCAGUGGGGAAUAUUGCACAAUGGGCGGAAGCCUGAUGCAGCAACGCCGCGUGAGGGAUGACGGCCUUCGGGUUGUAAACCUCUUUUAGCAGGGAAGAAGCGAGAGUGACGGUACCUGCAGAAAAAGCGCCGGCUAACUACGUGCCAGCAGCCGCGGUAAUACGUAGGGCGCAAGCGUUAUCCGGAAUUAUUGGGCGUAAAGAGCUCGUAGGCGGUUUGUCGCGUCUGCUGUGAAAUCCCGAGGCUCAACCUCGGGCCUGCAGUGGGUACGGGCAGACUAGAGUGCGGUAGGGGAGAUUGGAAUUCCUGGUGUAGCGGUGGAAUGCGCAGAUAUCAGGAGGAACACCGAUGGCGAAGGCAGAUCUCUGGGCCGUAACUGACGCUGAGGAGCGAAAGGGUGGGGAGCAAACAGGCUUAGAUACCCUGGUAGUCCACCCCGUAAACGUUGGGAACUAGUUGUGGGGACCAUUCCACGGUUUCCGUGACGCAGCUAACGCAUUAAGUUCCCCGCCUGGGGAGUACGGCCGCAAGGCUAAAACUCAAAGGAAUUGACGGGGACCCGCACAAGCGGCGGAGCAUGCGGAUUAAUUCGAUGCAACGCGAAGAACCUUACCAAGGCUUGACAUACACCAGAACACCGUAGAAAUACGGGACUCUUUGGACACUGG